GAUGAACGCUAGCGGCAGGCCUAACACAUGCAAGUCGAGGGGUAUAAGUAGCAAUACUUAGAGACCGGCGCACGGGUGAGUAACGCGUAUGCAACCUACCUUAUACAGGGGGAUAGCUCAGUGAAAACUGAAUUAAUACCCCAUAAAGCAGGGGUACCGCAUGGUACUAUUUGCUAAAGAUUUAUCGGUAUAAGAUGGGCAUGCGUGUCAUUAGCUAGUUGGUAAGGUAACGGCUUACCAAGGCUACGAUGACUAGGGGGUCUGAGAGGAUGAUCCCCCA
This 280-nucleotide ribosomal RNA is filed under the name uncultured Bacteroidota bacterium. RNAcentral describes it as "uncultured Bacteroidetes bacterium partial 16S ribosomal RNA". It matches the Rfam family "Bacterial small subunit ribosomal RNA", at positions 28 to 310 of the family's 1533-position model. Lineage: Bacteria; Pseudomonadati; Bacteroidota. The record is from RNAcentral.